GAGUGUAUAGCUUAGUAGGUUAAAGCAAUAAAUUUUUAAUUUAAAGAUUUUAGGUUCGAGUCCUAAUACACUCA
Molecule: transfer RNA, 74 nt
Filed under: Eucheuma denticulatum
Lineage: Eukaryota; Rhodophyta; Florideophyceae; Gigartinales; Solieriaceae
Description: tRNA-Lys
Rfam family: tRNA
About the family: Transfer RNA (tRNA) molecules are approximately 80 nucleotides in length. Their secondary structure includes four short double-helical elements and three loops (D, anti-codon, and T loops). Further hydrogen bonds mediate the characteristic L-shaped molecular structure. tRNAs have two regions of fundamental functional importance: the anti-codon, which is responsible for specific mRNA codon recognition, and the 3' end, to which the tRNAs corresponding amino acid is attached (by aminoacyl-tRNA synthetases). tRNAs cope with the degeneracy of the genetic code in two manners: having more than one tRNA (with a specific anti-codon) for a particular amino acid; and 'wobble' base-pairing, i.e. permitting non-standard base-pairing at the 3rd anti-codon position.
Source: RNAcentral